ACGAACGCUGGCGGCGUGCUUCACACAUGCAAGUCGAACGGAAAGGCCCUGCUUUUGUGGGGUGCUCGCGUGGCGAACGGGUGAGUAACACGUGAGUAACCUGCCCUUGACUUUGGGAUAACUUCAGGAAACUGGGGCUAAUACCGGAUAGGAGCUCCUGCUGCAUGGUGGGGGUUGGAAAGUUUCGGCGGUUGGGGAUGGACUCGCGGCUUAUCAGCUUGUUGGUGGGGUAGUGGCUUACCAAGGCUUUGACGGGUAGCCGGCCUGAGAGGGUGACCGGCCACAUUGGGACUGAGAUACGGCCCAGACUCCUACGGGAGGCAGCAGUGGGGAAUAUUGCACAAUGGGCGGAAGCCUGAUGCAGCAACGCCGCGUGCGGGAUGACGGCCUUCGGGUUGUAAACCGCUUUCGCCUGUGACGAAGCGUGAGUGACGGUAAUGGGGAAAGAAGCACCGGCUAACUACGU
RNAcentral lists this ribosomal RNA (466 nucleotides) under uncultured bacterium. Its description in RNAcentral is "partial 16S ribosomal RNA". It matches the Rfam family "Bacterial small subunit ribosomal RNA", at positions 29 to 506 of the family's 1533-position model. The record is from RNAcentral.